This 562-nucleotide long non-coding RNA is filed under the name Homo sapiens (human). RNAcentral's name for it is "HSALNT0382328". Lineage: Eukaryota; Metazoa; Chordata; Mammalia; Primates; Hominidae. The record is from RNAcentral.
GUUCCCCAGGCUGGAGUGCAGUGGUGCCAUCUCAGCUCACUGCAACCUCUGCCUCCCAGGUUCAAGUGCUUCUCCAGCCUCAGCCUCCCAAGUAGCUGAGACUACAGGCACACACCACCACGCCUGGCUAAUUUUUGUAUUUUUAGUAGAGACGGGUUUCACCAUGUUGGCUAGACUAGUCUCAAACUCCUGACCUCAAGUGAUCUGCCCGCCUCGACCUCUCUCAAAGUGCUGGCAUUACAGGUGUGAGCCACGGUGCCCGGCCCACAAUUAAUUUUAGAACAUUUUCAUCACCCCUAAAAGAAACCCUGCACCCAUUAGCAGUCCCUCCACAUUUCCCCCUAGCCUGCCUCCCCUGCCUCACCAGCCCUGGCAACUGCUAAUCUACUUUCUGUGUCUAUGGAUUUGCCUUCUCUAAACAUUUCAUAUAAAUGGAAUUACACAAUGAGUGGUCUUUUGUGACUGGCUUCUUUCACUUAGCACAAUGUUUUCAAGGCUUAUGUGUGUUGUGGUGUGCGUCAGUAAGCUCUUGGUGCUUGAGUCCUGAGACUGGGUCUAGGUC